UUAAGCGACUAAGCGUACACGGUGGAUGCCCUGGCAGUCAGAGGCGAUGAAGGACGUGCUAAUCUGCGAUAAGCGUCGGUAAGGUGAUAUGAACCGUUAUAACCGGCGAUUUCCGAAUGGGGAAACCCAGUGUGAUUCGUCACACUAUCAUUAACUGAAUCCAUAGGUUAAUGAGGCGAACCGGGGGAACUGAAACAUCUAAGUACCCCGAGGAAAAGAAAUCAACCGAGAUUCCCCCAGUAGCGGCGAGCGAACGGGGAGGAGCCCAGAGCCUGAAUCAGUGUGUGUGUUAGUGGAAGCGUCUGGAAAGGCGCGCGAUACAGGGUGACAGCCCCGUACACAAAAAUGCACAUGCUGUGAGCUCGAUGAGUAGGGCGGGACACGUGGUAUCCUGUCUGAAUAUGGGGGGGCCAUCCUCCAAGGCUAAAUACUCCUGACUGACCGAUAGUGAACCAGUACCGUGAGGGAAAGGCGAAAAGAACCCCGGCGAGGGGAGUGAAAAAGAACCUGAAACCGUGUACGUACAAGCAGUGGGAGCCUCUUAAUGGGGUGACUGCGUACCUUUUGUAUAAUGGGUCAGCGACUUAUAUUCUGUAGCAAGGUUAACCGAAUAGGGGAGCCGAAGGGAAACCGAGUCUUAACUGGGCGUUAAGUUGCAGGGUAUAGACCCGAAACCCGGUGAUCUAGCCAUGGGCAGGUUGAAGGUUGGGUAACACUAACUGGAGGACCGAACCGACUAAUGUUGAAAAAUUAGCGGAUGACUUGUGGCUGGGGGUGAAAGGCCAAUCAAACCGGGAGAUAGCUGGUUCUCCCCGAAAGCUAUUUAGGUAGCGCCUCGUGAAUUCAUCUCCGGGGGUAGAGCACUGUUUCGGCAAGGGGGUCAUCCCGACUUACCAACCCGAUGCAAACUGCGAAUACCGGAGAAUGUUAUCACGGGAGACACACGGCGGGUGCUAACGUCCGUCGUGAAGAGGGAAACAACCCAGACCGCCAGCUAAGGUCCCAAAGUCAUGGUUAAGUGGGAAACGAUGUGGGAAGGCCCAGACAGCCAGGAUGUUGGCUUAGAAGCAGCCAUCAUUUAAAGAAAGCGUAAUAGCUCACUGGUCGAGUCGGCCUGCGCGGAAGAUGUAACGGGGCUAAACCAUGCACCGAAGCUGCGGCAGCGACACUAUGUGUUGUUGGGUAGGGGAGCGUUCUGUAAGCCUGUGAAGGUGGCCUGUGAGGGUUGCUGGAGGUAUCAGAAGUGCGAAUGCUGACAUAAGUAACGAUAAAGCGGGUGAAAAGCCCGCUCGCCGGAAGACCAAGGGUUCCUGUCCAACGUUAAUCGGGGCAGGGUGAGUCGACCCCUAAGGCGAGGCCGAAAGGCGUAGUCGAUGGGAAACAGGUUAAUAUUCCUGUACUUGGUGUUACUGCGAAGGGGGGACGGAGAAGGCUAUGUUGGCCGGGCGACGGUUGUCCCGGUUUAAGCGUGUAGGCUGGUUUUCCAGGCAAAUCCGGAAAACCAAGGCUGAGGCGUGAUGACGAGGCACUACGGUGCUGAAGUGACAAAUGCCCUGCUUCCAGGAAAAGCCUCUAAGCAUCAGGUAACAUCAAAUCGUACCCCAAACCGACACAGGUGGUCAGGUAGAGAAUACCAAGGCGCUUGAGAGAACUCGGGUGAAGGAACUAGGCAAAAUGGUGCCGUAACUUCGGGAGAAGGCACGCUGAUAUGUAGGUGAAGCGACUUGCUCGUGGAGCUGAAAUCAGUCGAAGAUACCAGCUGGCUGCAACUGUUUAUUAAAAACACAGCACUGUGCAAACACGAAAGUGGACGUAUACGGUGUGACGCCUGCCCGGUGCCGGAAGGUUAAUUGAUGGGGUUAGCGGUAACGCGAAGCUCUUGAUCGAAGCCCCGGUAAACGGCGGCCGUAACUAUAACGGUCCUAAGGUAGCGAAAUUCCUUGUCGGGUAAGUUCCGACCUGCACGAAUGGCGUAAUGAUGGCCAGGCUGUCUCCACCCGAGACUCAGUGAAAUUGAACUCGCUGUGAAGAUGCAGUGUACCCGCGGCAAGACGGAAAGACCCCGUGAACCUUUACUAUAGCUUGACACUGAACAUUGAGCCUUGAUGUGUAGGAUAGGUGGGAGGCUUUGAAGUGUGGACGCCAGUCUGCAUGGAGCCGACCUUGAAAUACCACCCUUUAAUGUUUGAUGUUCUAACGUUGGCCCCUAAUCGGGGUUGCGGACAGUGUCUGGUGGGUAGUUUGACUGGGGCGGUCUCCUCCUAAAGAGUAACGGAGGAGCACGAAGGUUGGCUAAUCCUGGUCGGACAUCAGGAGGUUAGUGCAAUGGCAUAAGCCAGCUUGACUGCGAGCGUGACGGCGCGAGCAGGUGCGAAAGCAGGUCAUAGUGAUCCGGUGGUUCUGAAUGGAAGGGCCAUCGCUCAACGGAUAAAAGGUACUCCGGGGAUAACAGGCUGAUACCGCCCAAGAGUUCAUAUCGACGGCGGUGUUUGGCACCUCGAUGUCGGCUCAUCACAUCCUGGGGCUGAAGUAGGUCCCAAGGGUAUGGCUGUUCGCCAUUUAAAGUGGUACGCGAGCUGGGUUUAGAACGUCGUGAGACAGUUCGGUCCCUAUCUGCCGUGGGCGCUGGAGAACUGAGGGGGGCUGCUCCUAGUACGAGAGGACCGGAGUGGACGCAUCACUGGUGUUCGGGUUGUCAUGCCAAUGGCACUGCCCGGUAGCUAAAUGCGGAAGAGAUAAGUGCUGAAAGCAUCUAAGCACGAAACUUGCCCCGAGAUGAGUUCUCCCUGAGACUUAGAGUCUCCUGAAGGAACGUUGAAGACGACGACGUUGAUAGGCCGGGUGUGUAAGCGCAGCGAUGCGUUGAGCUAACCGGUACUAAUGAACCGUGAGGCUUAACCUU
RNAcentral lists this ribosomal RNA (2902 nucleotides) under Escherichia coli UMEA 3585-1. Its description in RNAcentral is "bacterial LSU rRNA". It matches the Rfam family "Bacterial large subunit ribosomal RNA". Lineage: Bacteria; Pseudomonadati; Pseudomonadota; Gammaproteobacteria; Enterobacterales; Enterobacteriaceae. The record is from RNAcentral.